CGGAAUCUUGAAGGAUGUCUCGGAUCCUAUUUUCGUUGGUUUACGUACUUCAGUAAUGAUGAAUAGAAACGGUUAGGGGCAUUUGUAUUUGGUCGCUAGAGGUGAAAUUCUUGGAAUGA
This 119-nucleotide ribosomal RNA is filed under the name Rhizopus arrhizus. Its description in RNAcentral is "Rhizopus oryzae partial small subunit ribosomal RNA". Lineage: Eukaryota; Fungi; Mucoromycota; Mucoromycetes; Mucorales; Rhizopodaceae. The record is from RNAcentral.